AGAGUUUGAUCCUGGCUCAGGACUAACGCUGACGGUGUGCAUAAUACAUGCAAGUCGAACGGACGAUAGAAAAGUGGCAACACUUUUUUAAAGUUAGUGGCGAACGGGUGCGUAACACGUGGGCAAUCUGCCUUGAAGAUUGGGAUAACUCCUCGAAAGAGGAGCUAAUACCGAAUGUGCUGUAUAUUUCGCAUGAUUUAUACAGUAAAGGUAGCCGCAAGGCUUCCGCUUUAAGAUGAGCCCGCGGCCUAUUAGCCAGUUGGUAGGGUAACGGCCUACCAAAGCUAUGAUGGGUAGCCGGUCUGAGAGGAUGGUCGGCCACACUGGGACUGAGAUACGGCCCAGACUCCUACGGGAGGCAGCAGUAGGGAAUCUUGCGCAAUGGACGAAAGUCUGACGCAGCGACACCGUGUGAGGGAUGAAGGUCUUCGGAUUGUAAACCUCUGUCAAUUGGGGACGAAGGUAGUAGGGUUAAUAGCUCUUACUAUUGACGGUACCCAAUAAGGAAGUCUCGGCUUACUCCGUGCCAGCAGCCGCGGUAAGACGGGGGAGGCAAGCGUUGUCCGGAAUUAUUGGGCGUAAAGAGCGCGUAGGUGGUUUGUCAAGUCAUUUGUGAAAACUUUAGGCUCAACUUAAAGAUUGCAAGUGAUACUGGCAUACUUGAGCACAGCAGAGGAAAGUGGAAUUCCUGGUGUAGCGGUGAAAUGCGCAGAUAUCAGGAAGAACACCAGUGGCGAAGGCGGCUUUCUGGGCUGUUGCUGACACUGAGGCGCGAAAGCUAGGGGAGCAAACAGGAUUAGAUACCCUGGUAGUCCUAGCCGUAAACGAUGGACACUAGGUGUGGGAAGUUAUCGACGCUUUCCGUGCCGAAGCUAACGCAUUAAGUGUCCCGCCUGGGGAGUACGGCCGCAAGGCUAAAACUCAAAGGAAUUGACGG
Molecule: ribosomal RNA, 937 nt
Filed under: uncultured bacterium
Lineage: Bacteria
Description: bacterial SSU rRNA
Rfam family: Bacterial small subunit ribosomal RNA
Source: RNAcentral